UUUUCGCCGACGAUGCUGUAUUCUUUCUGAAUGGUACCUUAUUGGAGUGUCAAAAUCUGUCUAACAUUCUAAAUCAAUAUUGCUUAGCAUCAGGACAAAAAAUUAAUCGUAACAAAUUAGGAAUUUUCUUUAAUUCCUCUUGUCCUAUUGCACUUCAGGAAAAUUUAGCUGCUGAAUUACGGGUACCAGUUUUACAUCAUUGUGGGAAGUAUCUUGGGAUACCUACUGAAUGGGGAAGAUAAAAAAAAGAUAUGUUUUCAUGGCUGCUGACUAGAGUUCAAUCGAAACUAGAAGGUUGGAAGGAGAAAAUGAUCUCUAAGGGAGGGAAAGAAGUUCUAUUAAAGGCAGUUAUCCAAUCUAUCCCUCAAUAUGCAAUGUCUGUAUUUAAAAUCCCUAUCUCUUUAUGCAAGUUUAUUGAAAAAAGAAUGGCCAAAUUCUGGUGGAACAACGAUACAAGCAGAUCUGGUGUACAUUGGCAGAGCUGGGGAAACCUACAGAACCGAAAGAAUCAGGGAGGAUUGGGUUUCAGGAAUUUAGUCACUUUUAAUAAUGCCAUGCUCGGUAAGCAAGCAUGGCGCCUUCUAACUCAGCCAUUAUCUUUGUGGAGCAAGCUUUUCAAGGGUCUUUAUUUCCCUUCUUCUACAUUUUUACAAGCUAACAAAGGCUCUCGCCCGUCCUGGGGCUGGCAGAGCUUACUUUGUGGAAGAAAUUCAAUUGAAACACAUGUCAGUUGGUCAGUAGGAAAUGGAAAGAGCAUCAACAUAAGACAAGACAGAUGGCUUCCCAUGGGUAUUCUAUCUGGACCUAAAGCUCCCGAAGAACCUACACUAGUAGCUGAUCUUAUUGACCCUGCUACCAGUUCAUGGAGAGUUGAAUUAUUAUCCAGGUUUUUCGAAAUGCCAAUCAUUCAACAGAUCACAUGCAUCCAACUCAGACCAAAUUACACCACAGAUGCACUUAUCUGGACAGCUACCAAACAUGGCACAUUUACAGUCAAGUCUGCAUAUCAUGCAAUUAUGCAAUCACAAUCACACACCUCAGACUCAACCGCAUCAUCCUCAUAUCAAAUUCCUACCUGGUUAUGGCGUUCUAUAUGGAAAAUGCCUGCUGCUCCUAAAAUCCGCGCCUUCCUUUGGUCUAUCUGCAACAACGCCUUGGCUACGAGAGAGAAUCUGCACAGAAGACACAUAUUAUACAGUCCUUGCUGUUCUUUGUGUGAAAACAGGUCCCCAGAAUCUUUAGAGCACUUAUUCUUACUUUGCUCAUGGACUCAGGAAGUUUGGACACAUCCCCGCAUUCGUGUCUCGAUUGAUCCCACCCACAUCCAUCGUCUGGACUCAUGGAUCACCUCUACGAUCGAGACAGAGCCUCGAUUACCUCGGCUGGCCUUACUCUCUCAUCUCAUGUGGCAGAUCUGGAAGGCUCGGAAUGCCUUCGUC
This 1439-nucleotide long non-coding RNA is filed under the name Eucalyptus grandis. Its description in RNAcentral is "long non-coding RNA (EGRA_LNC003621)". The record is from RNAcentral. Lineage: Eukaryota; Viridiplantae; Streptophyta; Magnoliopsida; Myrtales; Myrtaceae.